GAGGAAUAUUGGUCAAUGGGAGCAAUCCUGAACCAGCAAUGCCGCGUGUGGGAUGACAGGGCUUCGCCUUGUAAACCACUGUCGGACGGGACGAAAGGAGGCCUCGGGCCUCUGGGACGGUACCGUCAAAGGAAGGGUCGGCUAACUACGUGCCAGCAGCCGCGGUAAUACGUAGGACCCGAGCGUUGUCCGGAUUUACUGGGUAUAAAGGGUGCGUAGGCGGCCUUGUGCGUCAGAGGUGAAAUAUCCGGGCUUAACCCGGAGGGUGCCUUUGAUACGGCAGGGCUUGAGUGCGAGAGAGGAUGAUGGAAUUCCUGGUGUAGCGGUGAAAUGCGUAGAUAUCAGGAGGAACACCGGUGGCGAAGGCGGUCAUCUGGCUCGUAACUGACGCUGAGGCACGAAAGCGCGGGGAUCAAAC
This 418-nucleotide ribosomal RNA is filed under the name uncultured bacterium. RNAcentral describes it as "bacterial SSU rRNA". It matches the Rfam family "Bacterial small subunit ribosomal RNA", at positions 356 to 773 of the family's 1533-position model. The record is from RNAcentral.